GCUGUAAGGACUGGACGAGCGUCGCCGACUGCUGGAGGAGUAGGGAGCGGGGGACAGAGCGCCAUAAUCAUAGGGACUAAGGUGCCUGGAGAAGCUGGGAGAGCGGCGGCGUGAAGUCGGGGCCGUGGUUUCUCACCUGUCGUCUUUCUGGAGGAUGCUGCUGAAAAUCCGAGAUAAUUUUGCUCAGAGUAAUUAUAAAGCAAUGAUAUUGUUGCAUUGCAGAGAAAACUCAGUUGAAUGAUUUUUUUAAAAAAAGAUACUGAUGACCAUGAAAAUAUUGUGGGGGAAACCCAUCUGGCUCUUGGGGAAGAAAAUCUGCCAUCCUCACCCAGUCUGGUCUUUACGUGUCUCCUGAUCCACAGCAAUGCAAUUGACUCUAAACUGUAAUCUGCAAAGGCAUAGCAAGGAUUUGACUGCAUCACCCUCCAGCUGCUUUACUGUAAUAAGCACACCUUGAUUUCAUACUUCAGUGCAGAGAUCAGAAUGCUUAUCUUGAAGCUAAAGUUCCUCAGGUCAGUUUUUACUAGAGGAUGUUUUGUGGUAGUUAAGUUUGAUCAUUUAUUUGUAACAUCACUAUGAUUGAAAGAGUGCAUUACUCCAUGCUAGAUAGAAGUUUAGCCUACAACACAAUGCUGUAAAAAAUGUUAUUUUAUUUUGUAAUGGUUCAACAUACAUUAAAAUGUU
Stegostoma tigrinum is the source of this 684-nucleotide long non-coding RNA. RefSeq lists it as uncharacterized. The record is from RefSeq and is a predicted model, not a curated record. Lineage: Eukaryota; Metazoa; Chordata; Chondrichthyes; Orectolobiformes; Stegostomatidae. The transcript has 3 exons.